UACGUAGGCAGCGAGCGUUGUUCGGAGUUACUGGGCGUAAAGGGUGUGUAGGCGGUUGUUUAAGUUUGGUGGGAAAUCUCCCGGCUCAACUGGGAGGGUGCGCCGAAUACUGAAUGACUAGAGUGCGGGAGAGGUGAGUGGAAUUCCUGGUGUAGCGGUGAAAUGCGUAGAUAUCAGGAGGAACACCGGUGGUGUAGACGGCUCACUGGACCGUAACUGACGCUGAGACACGAAAGCGUGGGUAGCAAACAGG
RNAcentral lists this ribosomal RNA (253 nucleotides) under uncultured bacterium. RNAcentral's name for it is "partial 16S ribosomal RNA". It matches the Rfam family "Bacterial small subunit ribosomal RNA", at positions 524 to 776 of the family's 1533-position model. The record is from RNAcentral.